UAGCUGAACCAAGGAAGGAAAUCCUGGAAUCCCCCUCCAGAUAAACAGCUGACCUUUAGCCCAGCGCUCAGCCCAGUCGCAGGCUUGGGUACCCCCACCCUACCUGAAGCAGAAUUAACACGCAAGUGCAGACAAGCUUUGGGAGUCAGCCCAGCCCUGUAACAAACAGGAUCAACGGUACCGUGGGGUCAAGCCGUGCCUAGUGGGAUUUCAUACACACACUGACAGGCGAACAGAGCAGGUUUGUCCUUUCCCCUCUGGAGGAGUUUACACAGCAGGUUCACCAACUGCUCUUCACCGAGCACAGAGCUUAUUCACUGCAGUACUUUAAUUAGCCCCGUGACAGUAAGAAAUAAAGAACGUGCUCUUCAUGCA
RNAcentral lists this long non-coding RNA (375 nucleotides) under Chrysemys picta bellii (western painted turtle). Its description in RNAcentral is "lncRNA (ENSCPBG00000027426.1)". Lineage: Eukaryota; Metazoa; Chordata; Testudines; Emydidae. The record is from RNAcentral.